GACGAACGCUGGCGGCGUGCUUAACACAUGCAAGUCGAACGAUGAAGCUGGAGCUUGCUCCAGCGGAUUAGUGGCGAACGGGUGAGUAACACGUGAGCAAUCUGCCCUUGACUCUGGGAUAACUGCGGGAAACUGUAGCUAAUACCGGAUACGAGCUUUGAAGGCAUCUUCAGACAUGGAAAGAAUUUCGGUCAAGGAUGAGCUCGCGGCCUAUCAGCUAGUUGGUGAGGUAAUGGCUCACCAAGGCGACGACGGGUAGCCGGCCUGAGAGGGUGACCGGCCACACUGGAACUGAGACACGGUCCAGACUCCUACGGGAGGCAGCAGUGGGGAAUAUCGCACAAUGGGCGAAAGCCUGAUGCAGCAACGCCGCGUGAGGGAUGAAGGCCUUCGGGUUGUAAACCUCUUUUAGUAGGGAAGAAGCGAAAGUGACGGUACCUACAGAAAAAGCACCGGCUAACUACGUGCCAGCAGCCGCAGUAA
RNAcentral lists this ribosomal RNA (483 nucleotides) under uncultured bacterium. RNAcentral describes it as "partial 16S ribosomal RNA". It matches the Rfam family "Bacterial small subunit ribosomal RNA", at positions 28 to 523 of the family's 1533-position model. The record is from RNAcentral.